GACGAACGCUGGCUGCGUGCUUAACACAUGCAAGUCGAACGCUGAAACCCUGGUGCUUGCACCGGGGUGGAUGAGUGGCGAACGGGUGAGUAACACGUGAGUAACCUGCCCCCGACUUCGGGAUAAGCCCGGGAAACUGGGUCUAAUACCGGAUAUGAGGAUCCCUCGCAUGAGGGAUGCUGGAAAGUUUUUUCGGUUGGGGAUGGGCUCGCGGCCUAUCAGUUUGUUGGUGAGGUAAUGGCUCACCAAGGCGACGACGGGUAGCCGGCCUGGGAGGGCGACCGGCCGCACUGGGACUGAGACACGGCCCAGACUCCUACGGGAGGCAGCAGUGGGGAAUAUUGCACAUGGGGGAAACCCUGAUGCAGCGACGCAGCGUGCGGGAUGACGGCCUUCGGGUUGUAAACCGCUUUCAGCAGGGAAGAAGCCCCUCGGGGUGACGGUACCUGCAGAAGAAGUACCGGCUAACUACGUGCCAGCAGCCGCCGUAA
Molecule: ribosomal RNA, 491 nt
Filed under: uncultured bacterium
Lineage: Bacteria
Description: partial 16S ribosomal RNA
Rfam family: Bacterial small subunit ribosomal RNA
Source: RNAcentral